This 362-nucleotide transfer RNA is filed under the name uncultured Microcystis sp. RNAcentral describes it as "partial 16S-23S ribosomal RNA intergenic spacer". The stretch from base 133 to 206 matches the Rfam family "tRNA". The record is from RNAcentral. Lineage: Bacteria; Bacillati; Cyanobacteriota; Cyanophyceae; Chroococcales; Microcystaceae.
AAAGGGAGACCUAAUUCAGGUAUGGGACGAAAAAAAGUAGUCGCUACCAAGAAUCAAUCCCAAAAGGUCGGAGCGAGGCAUGAGGCUUUCAAACUAGGUUCUGGGUUCAUAAAAGACCUGAAUCAGGAACAAGGGCUAUUAGCUCAGGUGGUUAGAGCGCACCCCUGAUAAGGGUGAGGUCCCUGGUUCGAGUCCAGGAUGGCCCACCUGUACAGGUGGCAAAAACAAAGAAAAGAAGCGAGGAAUCAGCACCUUAUCUUACUUAUAUAGUAAGAGAGAAUGCUGGCUCUGAGUACAGAGUCCAGAGGAACCUUGAAAACUGCAUAGAGCUAGGUGAAAAAGCCAAAAAAGAAGACCGCAAG